CGGUCUCAGUUCGGAUCGCAGGCUGCAACUCGCCUGCGUGAAGUUGGAAUUGCUAGUAAUCGCGGAUCAGCAUGCCGCGGUGAAUACGUUCCCGGGCCUUGUACACACCGCCCGUCACACCAUGGGAGUUUGUAACGCCCAAAGUCGGUGGCCUAACCUUUAUGGAGGGAGCCGCCUAAGGCGGGACAGAUGACUGGGGUGAAGUCGUAACAAGGUAUC
Molecule: ribosomal RNA, 219 nt
Filed under: uncultured bacterium
Lineage: Bacteria
Description: partial 16S ribosomal RNA
Rfam family: Bacterial small subunit ribosomal RNA
Source: RNAcentral